GAAACGGUGUAUUUUAGAUAGAAGAUUAUGUGCUCUGCAAGCAUAAGGUGAGUGUUUUGCUCCGUCGUU
RNAcentral lists this transfer RNA (69 nucleotides) under Orthocoelium streptocoelium. RNAcentral describes it as "tRNA-Ala". The record is from RNAcentral. Lineage: Eukaryota; Metazoa; Platyhelminthes; Trematoda; Plagiorchiida; Paramphistomidae.